Molecule: transfer RNA, 72 nt
Filed under: Schizosaccharomyces osmophilus
Lineage: Eukaryota; Fungi; Ascomycota; Schizosaccharomycetes; Schizosaccharomycetales; Schizosaccharomycetaceae
Description: tRNA-Cys
Rfam family: tRNA
About the family: Transfer RNA (tRNA) molecules are approximately 80 nucleotides in length. Their secondary structure includes four short double-helical elements and three loops (D, anti-codon, and T loops).
Source: RNAcentral
GGGGUUAUAGCUCAGUGGUAGAGUGAGGGAUUGCAAUUCCCCAGGUCACUGGUUCAAAUCCGGUUGGCCCCU